GAUCCUGGCUCAGAUUGAACGCUGGCGGCAGGCCUAACACAUGCAAGUCGAGCGGAUGAGAAGAGCUUGCUCUUCGAUUCAGCGGCGGACGGGUGAGUAAUACCUAGGAAUCUGCCUGGUAGUGGGGGACAACGUUUUGAAAGGGACGCUGAUACCGCAUACGCCCUACGGGGGCAAGCAGGGGACCUUCGGGCCUUGCGCUAUCAGAUGAGCCUAGGUCGGAUUAGCUAGUUGGUGAGGUAAUGGCUCACCAAGGCGACGAUCCGUAACUGGUCUGAGAGGAUGAUCAGUCACACUGGAACUGAGACACGGUCCAGACUCCUACGGGAGGCAGCAGUGGGGAAUAUUGGACAAUGGGCGAAAGCCUGAUCCAGCCAUGCCGCGUGUGUGAAGAAGGUCUUCGGAUUGUAAAGCACUUUAAGUUGGGAGGAAGGGCAUUAACCUAAUACGUUAGUGUUUUGACGUUACCGACAGAAUAAGCACCGGCUAACUCUGUGCCAGCAGCCGCGGUAAUACAGAGGGUGCAAGCGUUAAUCGGAAUUACUGGGCGUAAAGCGCGCGUAGGUGGUUCGUUAAGUUGGAUGUGAAAUCCCCGGGCUCAACCUGGGAACUGCAUCCAAAACUGGCGAGCUAGAGUAGGGCAGAGGGUGGUGGAAUUUCCUGUGUAGCGGUGAAAUGCGUAGAUAUAGGAAGGAACACCAGUGGCGAAGGCGACCACCUGGGCUCAUACUGACACUGAGGUGCGAAAGCGUGGGGAGCAAACAGGAUUAGAUACCCUGGUAGUCCACGCCGUAAACGAUGUCAACUAGCCGUUGGGAACCUUGAGAUUUUAGUGGCGCAGCUAACGCAUUAAGUUGACCGCCUGGGGAGUACGGCCGCAAGGUUAAAACUCAAAUGAAUUGACGGGGGCCCGCACAAGCGGUGGAGCAUGUGGUUUAAUUCG
This 943-nucleotide ribosomal RNA is filed under the name uncultured bacterium. RNAcentral describes it as "bacterial SSU rRNA". It matches the Rfam family "Bacterial small subunit ribosomal RNA", at positions 15 to 953 of the family's 1533-position model. The record is from RNAcentral.